Molecule: ribosomal RNA, 738 nt
Filed under: Phytopseudomonas flavescens
Lineage: Bacteria; Pseudomonadati; Pseudomonadota; Gammaproteobacteria; Pseudomonadales; Pseudomonadaceae
Description: bacterial SSU rRNA
Rfam family: Bacterial small subunit ribosomal RNA
Source: RNAcentral
CUAACCAUGCAGUCGAGCGGUUGAGGGGAGCUUGCUCCCUGAUUCAGCGGCGGACGGGUGAGUAAUGCCUAGGAAUCUGCCUAUUAGUGGGGGACAACGUUUCGAAAGGAACGCUAAUACCGCAUACGUCCUACGGGAGAAAGCAGGGGACCUUCGGGCCUUGCGCUAAUAGAUGAGCCUAGGUCGGAUUAGCUAGUUGGUGGGGUAAAGGCUCACCAAGGCGACGAUCCGUAACUGGUCUGAGAGGAUGAUCAGUCACACUGGAACUGAGACACGGUCCAGACUCCUACGGGAGGCAGCAGUGGGGAAUAUUGGACAAUGGGCGAAAGCCUGAUCCAGCCAUGCCGCGUGUGUGAAGAAGGUCUUCGGAUUGUAAAGCACUUUAAGUUGGGAGGAAGGGUUGUAGAUUAAUACUCUGCAAUUUUGACGUUACCGACAGAAUAAGCACCGGCUAACUCUGUGCCAGCAGCCGCGGUAAUACAGAGGGUGCAAGCGUUAAUCGGAAUUACUGGGCGUAAAGCGCGCGUAGGUGGUUUGUUAAGUUGGAUGUGAAAGCCCCGGGCUCAACCUGGGAACUGCAUCCAAAACUGGCAAGCUAGAGUACGGUAGAGGGUGGUGGAAUUUCCUGUGUAGCGGUGAAAUGCGUAGAUAUAGGAAGGAACACCAGUGGCGAAGGCGACCACCUGGACUGAUACUGACACUGAGGUGCGAAAGCGUGGGGAGCAAACAGGAUUAGAU